This 543-nucleotide ribosomal RNA is filed under the name uncultured bacterium. Its description in RNAcentral is "bacterial SSU rRNA". It matches the Rfam family "Bacterial small subunit ribosomal RNA", at positions 47 to 579 of the family's 1533-position model. The record is from RNAcentral.
CUUAAUACAUGCAAGUCGAGCGGGGUUACUGCGACAGAUCCCUUCGGGGUGACGUUGCUUUAACCUAGCGGCGGACGGGUGAGUAACGCGUGGGUAACCUACCCUAAAGCUCGGGAUAACAGUGGGAAACCGCUGCUAAUACCGGAUGACUUUAACCUAUGGCAUCAUGGGUUAAAGAAAGAUUUAUCGCUUUAGGAUGGGCCCGCGUCCCAUUAGCUAGUUGGUGAGGUAACGGCUCACCAAGGCGACGAUGGGUAGCCGGCCUGAGAGGGUGUACGGCCACACUGGGACUGAGACACGGCCCAGACUCCUACGGGAGGCAGCAGUAGGGAAUAUUGCGCAAUGGACGGAAGUCUGACGCAGCGACGCCGCGUGAGCGAUGAAGGCCUUCGGGUCGUAAAGCUCUGUCCUUGGGGAAGAAGGUCUUCGGACUUGACGGUACCCAAGAAGAAAGCCCCGGCUAACUACGUGCCAGCAGCCGCGGUAAUACGUAGGGGGCGAGCGUUGUCCGGAAUUACUGGGCGUAAAGGGUGCGUAGGCGGC